UACGGAGGGCGCAAGCGUUGUUCGGAAUCACUGGGCGUAAAGCGCGUGUAGGCGGCUCGGCAAGUCGGGUGUGAAAUCCCGAGGCUCAACCUCGGAACUGCACUCGAAACUGCCGGGCUCGAGUCCCGGAGAGGGUGGCGGAAGUCCCGGUGUAGGGGUGAAAUCCGUAGAUAUCGGGAGGAACACCAGUGGCGUAGGCGGCCACCUGGACGGUGACUGACGCUGAGACGCGAAAGCGUGGGGAGCAAACAGG
This 253-nucleotide ribosomal RNA is filed under the name uncultured bacterium. RNAcentral describes it as "partial 16S ribosomal RNA". It matches the Rfam family "Bacterial small subunit ribosomal RNA", at positions 524 to 776 of the family's 1533-position model. The record is from RNAcentral.